ACAGGCUGGUUGGCGAUGAUGUCGUAGGACUCCAUGGCCGGGCCGCGCCGGCCCUGCCCAGCAGGCGGGCUGCAGGAGGCACCGGAUGGGCGGGCGGGCGGGAGGACCGGGACGGCGGCGGCUCCCGACGCGGCGCCGCUGCCCUCCCUCCCCGAGCCUGCAGCCUACGCGAGCCCCGCGGGGCUUUCUGGAGGGCGGGCCCGGCGGCCAAUCAUCGCUCCCACCUGGCCCGAUUGACAGCAGGUGCCCGGGGCUGGCUGCGCGAAGGGGGCGGGGCCUCCGGAGGCUGGCCAGCCAAUUGAGGUCGUCCGGAAAAAAGUGGUCGCGGCGUUGCCAAGUAUUGCCUGUUUCUGGACUUUGUGCAGAUGAAGUCAUUGGUAUGUAUUCAUUUGCAUCUAGUGUUUAUACAUUCAUAAAAUAGAUCACUGUGUAGCCAUUAAAAAUAAUGAGAGAGUGCUAUAUAAUUUCAUAUGAAACAUAUCAGGACACAUUGCUAAGUAAAAGCAAAGAGAAAGCAGACACCGAGUGUAGACUGUUAUAUGCAUGAAUGUCUCUGAACAGUAUAUGAGGCACCUUCAGGUCUCUUUUUUAUUUUUUUUUUUU
RNAcentral lists this long non-coding RNA (603 nucleotides) under Homo sapiens (human). RNAcentral's name for it is "HSALNT0036140". The record is from RNAcentral. Lineage: Eukaryota; Metazoa; Chordata; Mammalia; Primates; Hominidae.